UGGUAAGACGUGAUUCCAUCUCCGGGA
Molecule: small RNA, 27 nt
Filed under: Bombyx mori (domestic silkworm)
Lineage: Eukaryota; Metazoa; Arthropoda; Insecta; Lepidoptera; Bombycidae
Description: ovarian small RNA-35069
Source: RNAcentral